CAAUAAGCGGAGGAAAAGAAACUAACAAGGAUUCCCCUAGUAACUGCGAGUGAAGCGGGAUGAGCUCAAAUUUAAAAUCUGGCGUCUUCGGCGUCCGAGUUGUAAUUUAGAGAAGCGUUUUCCGUGCCGGACCGUGUACAAGUCUCCUGGAACGGAGCGUCAUAGAGGGUGAGAAUCCCGUCUUUGACACGGACCCCCGGUGCUCUGUGAUACGCUCUCGAAGAGUCGAGUUGUUUGGGAAUGCAGCUCAAAAUGGGUGGUGAACUCCAUCUAAAGCUAAAUAUUGGCGAGAGACCGAUAGCGAACAAGUACCGUGAGGGAAAGAUGAAAAGCACUUUGGAAAGAGAGUGAAACAGUACGUGAAAUUGUUGAAAGGGAAACGCUUGAAGUCAGUCGCGUCCGCCGGGACUCAGCCGCAAGGUGUACUUUCCGGUGGACGGGCCAGCAUCACUUUUGACCGUCGGACAAAGGCGAGGGGAAUGUGGCACCUUCGGGUGUGUUAUAGCCCCUUGUCAUAUACGACGGACGGGAGUGAGGAACGCCUUUGUAGGAUGCUGGCGUAAUGGCUUUAAACGACCCGUCUUGAAACACGGACCAAGGAGUCUAACAUGCCCGCGAGUGUUCGGGUGGAAAACCCGUGCGCGUAAUGAAAGUGAAAGUUGGGAAGGCUGUCGCGGCCUGCACCGACGCCCGGACUUGAGAUUUAUCGAAGGUUCUGCGGUAGAGCGUGUAUGUUGGGACCCGAAAGAUGGUGAACUAUGCCUGAAUAGGGUGAAGCCAGAGGAAACUCUGGUGGAGGCUCGUAGCGAUUCUGACGUGCAAAUCGAUCGUCGAAUUUGGGUAUAGGG
This 848-nucleotide ribosomal RNA is filed under the name Peniophora rufa. Its description in RNAcentral is "partial large subunit ribosomal RNA". It matches the Rfam family "Eukaryotic large subunit ribosomal RNA", at positions 44 to 922 of the family's 3401-position model. Lineage: Eukaryota; Fungi; Basidiomycota; Agaricomycetes; Russulales; Peniophoraceae. The record is from RNAcentral.